GACAGGGAGAAGGGUACAAGUUCAGGUCCAGGAUGUUGGUGAGAACAGCUCAGAGAGUCUGCUCCUAGCGUCACUGAUAGGAGAUCAGCACUGUGGGCCCUGAGUCCACCUGCCUUCCAGUGGCAUCCUCAAUUGAAUGGACUGAGUAUUAUACAUGCCAGACCCAAGCAGACCAAUCAGAAGCCUUUCCCAGGACUUUGGAAUUGGGACCCAAGGACUCCAGCUCACUGACCCUCAAAGGUCUUUUGACUGCCUUCAGGGUGAGAGACCUCAUUCUAGCCUAGGGCGCUGUCUUGUGCCAAGAAGAGAUGAUGAACCAAGCAAGUGUGGGGACUGGGGUAGAUAAUAAAGCAUUUUUUCA
Hippopotamus amphibius kiboko is the source of this 361-nucleotide long non-coding RNA. RefSeq lists it as uncharacterized. The transcript is spliced from 3 exons. The record is from RefSeq and is a predicted model, not a curated record. Lineage: Eukaryota; Metazoa; Chordata; Mammalia; Artiodactyla; Hippopotamidae.